This 250-nucleotide ribosomal RNA is filed under the name uncultured bacterium. RNAcentral describes it as "partial 16S ribosomal RNA". It matches the Rfam family "Bacterial small subunit ribosomal RNA", at positions 524 to 773 of the family's 1533-position model. The record is from RNAcentral.
UACAGAGGGUGCGAGCGUUAAUCGGAAUUACUGGGUGUAAAGGGCGCGUAGGCGGCAAGAUAUGUGUGAUGUGAAAGCCCCGGGCUUAACCUGGGAAGUGCAUUGCAAACUGUCUGGCUAGAGUAUAUGAGAGGGUGGCGGAAUUUCCGGUGUAGCGGUGAAAUGCGUAGAGAUCGGAAGGAACGUCAAUGGCGAAGGCAGCCACCUGGCAUAAUACUGACGCUGAGGCGCGAAAGCGUGGGGAGCGAAC